AUAUUAGCAGCGAAAUCAGAUACCUUCAUUUGGAAGGUUUAAUAGGGAAGAUUGGUGAAAAGCCAACGCGGUCCCGCCACUGUAAAUGGGAGCAAGCUGUAAUGACCACUAUGUAUGUAAAAAUACACGGGAAGGUACAGUAAGCAAUGAUCAUGAGCCAGGAUACCUGUCUGAUUUUUGAGUGCACC
RNAcentral lists this non-coding RNA (188 nucleotides) under Heyndrickxia shackletonii. Lineage: Bacteria; Bacillati; Bacillota; Bacilli; Caryophanales; Bacillaceae. The record is from RNAcentral.